RNAcentral lists this small RNA (95 nucleotides) under Klebsiella pneumoniae. RNAcentral describes it as "partial RtT sRNA". It matches the Rfam family "RtT RNA", at positions 38 to 130 of the family's 130-position model. From Rfam's summary of the family: This family represents a bacterial cis-regulatory element known as RtT RNA. The exact function of RtT is unknown although it is thought that it may be involved in changing the cellular response in relation to amino acid starvation. The record is from RNAcentral. Lineage: Bacteria; Pseudomonadati; Pseudomonadota; Gammaproteobacteria; Enterobacterales; Enterobacteriaceae.
AAGGUUCGACUCGAGCGAAGCGAGAGAACGUUGCCGCAGGCAACGGCCCGAAGGGCGAGGCGCUUUAGUGCCGAGUAAUCCUUCCCCCACCACCA